RNAcentral lists this transfer RNA (73 nucleotides) under Bacteroidota bacterium. Its description in RNAcentral is "Bacteroidetes bacterium tRNA-Gly". It matches the Rfam family "tRNA". Rfam says of the family: Transfer RNA (tRNA) molecules are approximately 80 nucleotides in length. Lineage: Bacteria; Pseudomonadati; Bacteroidota. RNAcentral also lists the same sequence under 3 other names. The record is from RNAcentral.
GCGAGCGUAACUCAGUCGGUAGAGUGUCAGCUUCCCAAGCUGAAUGUCGCGGGUUCGAAUCCCGUCGCUCGCU